CGAACGAAGCACUUUAUUGGAUUUUCUUCGGAGAUGAAGAUGUUGUGACUGAGUGGCGGACGGGUGAGUAACGCGUGGGCAACCUGCCCUGUACCGGGGGAUAACAGCCGGAAACGGCUGCUAAUACCGCAUAAGCGCACGAGAGCGCAUGCUUUUGUGUGAAAAACUCCGGUGGUACGGGAUGGGCCCGCGUCUGAUUAGCUUGUUGGCGGGGUAGAAGCCCACCAAGGCGACGAUCAGUAGCCGACCUGAGAGGGUGACCGGCCACAUUGGGACUGAGACACGGCCCAAACUCCUACGGGAGGCAGCAGUGGGGAAUAUUGCACAAUGGGGGGAACCCUGAUGCAGCGACGCCGCGUGAGUGAGGAAGUAUUUCGGUAUGUAAAGCUCUAUCAGCAGGGAAGAAAAAAUGACGGUACCUGACUAAGAAGCACCGGCUAAAUACGUGCCAGCAGCCGCGGUAAUACGUAUGGUGCAAGCGUUAUCCGGAUUUACUGGGUGUAAAGGGAGCGCAGGCGGUACGGCAAGUCUGAUGUGAAAGCCCGGGGCUCAACCCCGGUACUGCAUUGGAAACUACCGGACUGGAGUGUCGGAGGGGUAAGUGGAAUUCCUAGUGUAGCGGUGA
Molecule: ribosomal RNA, 625 nt
Filed under: uncultured bacterium
Lineage: Bacteria
Description: bacterial SSU rRNA
Rfam family: Bacterial small subunit ribosomal RNA
Source: RNAcentral